This 486-nucleotide ribosomal RNA is filed under the name uncultured bacterium. RNAcentral describes it as "partial 16S ribosomal RNA". It matches the Rfam family "Bacterial small subunit ribosomal RNA", at positions 30 to 507 of the family's 1533-position model. The record is from RNAcentral.
AUUGAACGCUGGCGGCAUGCCUUACACAUGCAAGUCGAACGGCAGCACGGGUGCUUGCUCCUGGUGGCGAGUGGCGAACGGGUGAGUAAUACAUCGGAACAUGUCCUGUAGUGGGGGAUAGCCCGGCGAAAGCCGGAUUAAUACCGCAUACGAUCUACGGAUGAAAGCGGGGGACCUUCGGGCCUCGCGCUAUAGGGUUGGCCGAUGGCUGAUUAGCUAGUUGGUGGGGUAAAGGCCUACCAAGGCGACGAUCAGCAGCUGGUCUGAGAGGACGACCAGCCACACUGGAACUGAGACACGGCCCAGACUCCUACGGGAGGCAGCAGUGGGGAAUUUUGGACAAUGGGCGAAAGCCUGAUCCAGCAAUGCCGCGUGUGUGAAGAAGGCCUUCGGGUUGUAAAGCACUUUUGUCCGGAAAGAAAUCCUUGGCCCUAAUACGGUCGGGGGAUGACGGUACCGGAAGAAUAAGCACCGGCUAACUACGUG